Molecule: non-coding RNA, 75 nt
Organism: Glossina fuscipes fuscipes
Lineage: Eukaryota; Metazoa; Arthropoda; Insecta; Diptera; Glossinidae
Source: Rfam
ACACAAUGAUGAAUUUGACUAGUUCUGCUACUGAACCUCUUGUGAAGAGGACAAAAAUACCAAAAAUUCUGAUAA